RNAcentral lists this long non-coding RNA (904 nucleotides) under Setaria italica (foxtail millet). RNAcentral's name for it is "long non-coding RNA (SITA_LNC005365)". The record is from RNAcentral. Lineage: Eukaryota; Viridiplantae; Streptophyta; Magnoliopsida; Poales; Poaceae.
GAUCCUGUCGAAGCAUCGAGUGCUCUUGGUCUCGCAUCUUCGGCACGGGAUUUUGACACGACGUUGGAGUCGUAACGAGGAGAUUUAGGCCCCGUUUGUUUCUUUAAUAACUCCUAAAAUUCCUAUCACAUCGAAUGUUUAGAUACUAAUUAGAAGUAUUAAAUAUAGACUAAUUGCAAAACUAAUUGAUGGAGACUAAUUUGCGAGACGAAUCUAUUAAGUAUAAUUAGUCUAUGAUCUGACAAUGUGGUGCUACAGUAAACAUGUGCUGAUGAUGUAUUAAUUAGGCUUAAUAGAUUCAUCUCGGGAAUUAGCCUCCAUCUGUGUAAUUAGUUUUAUAAUUAGCUCAUAUUUAAUCCUUCUAAUUAAUCUCCGAAUAUUUGAUAUGACAUGAAUUUUAGUCCGAGCUGAACAUCCAAACACCCACUUAGCGCAUAUCUCCACUCUUUUGCCAUCUUCUUUGCCCUGCAUGCAGGUAAGGGAUCGAGCUAGAUUUCAUGAAUCCGCGGAGUACGGUGAGUGGCACAUGCUAGAUGCUACUUCUAUCAUGGUAGGUACUUACGCUAUCCAAAGCUAAAGUUGUUGCUGAACUGCUGAUGCAAUGUAACAGCCGAGUGCGAAUGUGACAACCGCUCAUCAGCUACCUCUCCUCUGACGAGUCAUUGUCAAAUGGCGAAUUGGGAGAUAGGAAGAAAAAUGCGAUGCGACGCGACGCGUGCCGUCACCCUUCAUCAUCAAAAACCAUGUACGUACAGGUCUAUGUUUUUUUUAAAACGACAGAAACCAUGUAAAAGUCUAAAGAAAACAUUUGCAGUUUUCCGAGACGAUCCCAACAACCAUGAAUCCUACAGUUUGAAUACCGUCCACGCACGUCAAAAAGGGCACGGGUCCAAUGAUGAAAGGC